UACGUAGGGUGCAAGCGUUGCCCGGAUUUAUUGGGCGUAAAGGGCGCGCAGGCGGCUACGCACGUCCGUUGUGAAAUCGCUCGGCUCAACUGGGCGGGGUCGGCGGAUACGGCGUAGCUGGAGCAAGCUAGGGGGCAAUGGAAUUCCCGGUGUAGUGGUGGAAUGCGUAGAUAUCGGGAGGAACACCAGUGGCGAAGGCGACUACCUGGCCUGUUCUUGACGCUGAGGAGCGAAAGCGUGGGGAGCGAACAGG
RNAcentral lists this ribosomal RNA (253 nucleotides) under uncultured bacterium. Its description in RNAcentral is "partial 16S ribosomal RNA". It matches the Rfam family "Bacterial small subunit ribosomal RNA", at positions 524 to 776 of the family's 1533-position model. The record is from RNAcentral.